Molecule: ribosomal RNA, 289 nt
Filed under: uncultured bacterium
Lineage: Bacteria
Description: partial 16S ribosomal RNA
Rfam family: Bacterial small subunit ribosomal RNA
Source: RNAcentral
CUUGCCCUACGGGGGGCAGCAGUGGGGGAUAUUGCACAAUGGGGGAAACCCUGAUGCAGCGACGCCGCGUGGGAGAAGAAGCGCCUCGGCGCGUAAAGCCCUGUCAGCAGGGAAGAAAAUGACGGUACCUGCAGAAGAAGCCCCGGCUAACUACGUGCCAGCAGCCGCGGUAAUACGUAGGGGGCAAGCGUUAUCCGGAUUUACUGGGUGUAAAGGGGGCGCAGACGGCGAUGCAAGCCAGGAGUGAAAGCCCGGGGCGCAACCCCGGGACUGCUCUUGGAAAUGCGUG